Small nucleolar RNA from Fusarium verticillioides 7600, 279 nucleotides. It matches the Rfam family "Fungal small nucleolar RNA U3". Rfam says of the family: Small nucleolar RNAs (snoRNAs) are involved in the processing and modification of rRNA in the nucleolus. The record is from Rfam. Lineage: Eukaryota; Fungi; Ascomycota; Sordariomycetes; Hypocreales; Nectriaceae.
GUCGACAAUACUUCAGAGAAUCAUUUCUAUAGUAUUCGACCUUCUCUUGGUUCCCUAAAAGAGCCACAGAUCCCACCCUGGUUGAUGAAUGAAUAUCCUCGAUGCCCUAGAGUGAAUACCCCUUUUCUGGUCCUCUCGAUCUGUCCGCAAGGAUGGCGGUGGUCUGCUCUUUUGAGUGGCUGCUGUAUAGAGAGAUGUUACUCUUGAUGAUCUCGGCCCUUGGGACGGUCUGCCUUCGGGCGCGUUCUUGGGGCGGGCAUUGAUGGACGUCUGACAGGC